Molecule: long non-coding RNA, 218 nt
Organism: Mauremys reevesii (Reeves's turtle)
Lineage: Eukaryota; Metazoa; Chordata; Testudines; Geoemydidae
Exons: 3
Source: RefSeq, a predicted model, not a curated record
AGGAAGUCAUUGGUACUUUUCUUAGUUUGUCAGCUAUUUUACUCUACUUCAGGGGUAACAGGUGUCCAAAUGACCAUUUCUGCAUGCGCAGUUCGGAUAACUGCAUGGAUAAAGGGUUCUGCUACAGUCUUCACCGCCAGCUGCUCCUCUCUGCCAGCCACCCUGCUGACCACUCACCAAUGUCUUCAGCCGUCCACCUGCCCCCCCACAGCUCUCAG